CGCGCACACUGUGCAGGCGCGCCAAACCGAUCCACCGUGCAGUGCGAGAAGGGGAUGCGGGACGCGCGGGAGGAGGGCCGCUGGCCGCGUCGCUUCGCCGGGGCCGCGCGCCGGUCUCUUUCGCCACCGGCACCGGACGAGUGCACACGUCGUGAUUAACCUAAUAUUUUUGUAUAACGCCAAUCGCCACACGUCGUAACUAUGAAACCUAUAACCUACAAUCUACGCCGAGCGGCGCGCAGCGGGCUAAGUGAGGACGGCGGCAACACGUGCAGCCAACGUGUCUCCGCGGACCACGCCGUACCACCACCACGAGUUCUACGAAGACGCAGACUACAACAGCAGGCGGCAUCAGACGGCGGAGGUCUAACCCGAGGGAAGUUGCUCGUUUCCUAUUAUUUCCUAUCCUUUUCCUAGUGUUUAUUUGUGUGAAUAGCCUAGCGGGCUUAGGUACUAUUCGUUAAUUAGCUUGCCUAUAUUCAAAAUGGUACAAAUUUUGCUUUUCUAGCCUACGACGCUAUAGUGGGCGAGUCCAUUAUUUUUGUGCCGCGUUUUCUAACCUACGACGCUAUAGUGGGCGAGUCCAUUUUGUGCCGCGUGUGUGAAAUUGCAUAGCCUAAACUUAAUUUCAUUUAAAUCGUGCAUCCUAAACUACGUGUACGCCUAAUUAAUCUAAAAGCAUCUAUAUUAAUGCACCUAAUAAUUAUUUAUUGUACACACUAAAAGUGUACCUACGCCUAAUGCACUAUAAGCAUAUCUACCUAAGCAUAUUAAUUUUGCAAAUUGAGGUUUUGGUUCUAAGUAUUUACCAAAAUACAUGCCUAUUGCCUAAUAAAAGUAAAUUCCUAACUAGCGCAACAAUUAAUACAGUUAUUAUACCAAAGCUCGCCGACUAUUUCAGUUGCGGUGAAUGUGCAUGUGCUUCGCUCAACCAACUGCUAGCUACCUGCAGCCUGUCUACUAAUCGCAGCGCAGGUGCCUGGUGAGUGCUGCCUACUUCGUGCUGUCACAGCUUCAAAAGGUUACCGUGAGUUAGCGGCUUUGAGUUUCUAUUGUAAUCUGUGCCUACCCAUUCAUUGUUGCCUCUAAAGUGUUAGGUAGUUUAUUCUUUUAACUAAAUUUGUACCUAAUUACAAAAAAUAUUGUGUUAGUGAGUUAUUCAAAAUGAGUGAAAGUGAAAAGUCAGAGAUUCAAGUUCCUAUUAGAAAACGUAGUGCCAUCAAAGGCCAAGUUACAAAAUUCUACAACUAUUUACAAGAGAUAUCUAAAAAUACUCCAAUUAGUAGCUUGCAGUCUAAAGAAAUUGUUUUAAAAAUAGAGAAAUUUCAAACUUUAUUAAGUACAUUUGAUAUCUUGCAAACUGAAAUUGAAUUGAAUUGCUCAGAUUUAGAGGAACAGUUAGCUGAGAGAGAAUUAAUUGAAGAAAAUUUUCAUAAGUGUAUUGCAUUGGCUCAAGAAAUAAAUGAAUCAGCGAGUGUUUCAAAAACUGAACAUCAAAAGCAUGAGUCAGAAUAUGGUAGUGUAAAUAAUAGUCAAUGUAGUCAUAGGUUUAGUUCAGUAAAAUUGCCCACAAUAAAAUUGCCAUCUUUUGAUGGAAAUUACCUUAAAUGGCUGGAAUUUAGAGACACUUUUGACAGUUUAAUUAAUAGUAAUGAAAAUAUUCCUAACAUAAACAAGUUUCAUUAUUUAAGGUCAUCCUUAGAAGGAGGAGCACUAGUAGUUAUCAAAUCAAUAGAAUUCACAUCUAACAAUUAUAAAGUAGCAUGGGAUUUAGUUUGUCAAAGAUAUAAUAAUAAAAAUUUACUUAUAAAUAAUCAUUUAAAAGCAUUAUUUAAUAUAGAAGCCUUAACAAGAGAAUCUCACAAAGCUUUAAGAUUCUUAAUUGAUUUAGUUUCAAAAAACUUAAGAGCACUAAAUACUUUAGGGCAGCCAACAGAUAAAUGGGAUGCUUUAAUUAUUUAUAUGGUGUCCACAAAGCUAGAUAGCACCACUAGUAGAAAGUGGGAAGAAUUAAAAAAUGGGUUACCAGAAUUACCCACUUUAGAGCAAUUCAAUGAUUUCUUGCGUAACAGGGCAGAUGUUUUAGAAACAACACAAGUUCAAAAUAUAAGUAGGAAUGAUAAUUAUAAAUCACAAGGUCCUAGGGAGCAAAAGUAUUCUAAUUCUAAGUCCUUUGUUAGUUCAAUGAGUAACAACAAUUCUUACAAAAAGUCAUGUGAUAUUUGUCAUGAAAGUCAUCAUUUGCAUGCAUGUUCAAAGUUUAAUGAUAUGUCAACUGAAGCUAGGUUAGAUACAGCCUUAAAGUUGAAUUUAUGUCUCAACUGUUUGCGAAGUGGACAUACUGCAAAACAUUGCUUCCUAAAAGGUUCCUGUAAAUAUUGUAAUAAGAAACAUAACUCUUUGUUGCAUAAAGAUUCUACUGUAGGAUGUAGUAGUAGUAGUUCAAAUACAAAUAAUAAUAACUUACCUUCAAAUACUUUACCCACAACACUUUCAGCAGUCUCUGCAAGUCAGGUACUAUUAUGUACAGCUAUAGUGGAAAUUGUAAAUCCUGAAAAUAAUAUUUCUUACCGUGCUCGAGCUCUCCUUGACACAGGUAGUCAAUCAUCGUUUAUUACAAAUAAAUUCAAAAUAAAGCUAGGUCUACAGACACAAUGUUCAAACCCAAUACGUAUCGCUGGCAUUGGUAAUGUGCAGUGUGACAUUACAGAGAGGUGUAGUUUGAAAUUAUUUUCAUGUAUUGAUAAAUCAUUUAACUUAGAAAUGAUGUGUUUAGUAGUACCACAAAUAACUAGUAGUUUACCAACACUAAAAGUUGAUGUUAAAAGUUUAGGGCUGCCGGCUAACAUAAUCCUUGCAGACCCUGAGUUCCAUUGUCCCUCCGAUAUUGAUAUGUUAUUGGGGGCAGACGUUUUUUGGGAAAUAGUAGGUACCCAACAAAUAGGAUUGGGUAGACAUCGGCCUAUAUUACAAAGCUCUAAGUUAGGCUGGCUAGUAACUGGCCCUAUAGGAAUAGGACAGUCUAAUUUGUCACAUGAAAAUUCAUAUAUUAAUGUUUUAAAUUGUAGUAUUAUAAAGGAUGAUAUUCAUGAUUCAUUACAAAGAUUUUGGGAGGUAGAAGAAUUGCCUUCAAAUAAAAUAUCUUACACGCUUGAAGAACAAGCAUGUGAAAACAGUUUUAAACAAAAUACAAGUCGCUUGCCAAGUGGUAGGUUUUUAGUUAAAAUGCCACUGAAAGAAUCACCAGAGGAAGCAUUAGGUGAUUCAUAUAAUAUAGCCAAAAGGCGUUUUUUUAGUUUAGAAAACAAGUUAGAUAAGAAUCCUAAUAUUAAGAAACAAUAUGUAGAUUUUAUUAAAGAAUAUUUAGAUUUAGGUCAUUUGGAAGAAAUAGAGCGUCCAAGGUUCGGUAAUUAUUUACCUCAUCAUGCAGUAUUGCGUGAAAAAAGCGAAACAACAAAGUUAAGGGUAGUUUUUGAUGCCUCAGUAAAAACAACCUCUGGAAAAUCACUAAAUGAUAUCCAGAUGAUAGGUCCAGUAAUACAAAAUGAUUUAUUUAAUAUUAUGGUAAGGUUUCGUACUCACAAAUUUGUUUUAACCGGUGACAUAGAGAAAAUGUAUAGACAAAUUUCUAUUGAUGAGUCACAACGUCAUUUACAAUUAAUUUUGUGGAGGGAAGAUACAUCUCUACCACUUAAAGUUUUACAAUUAAACACUGUAACAUAUGGUACAGCUUCAGCACCUUUCCUAAGUACUAGAUGUCUAUUGCAAUUAGCUGAAGAAUGUACAGAUAUGUCUAUUGCUAAUAUAAUUAAGAAUGAUUUUUAUUAUGAUGACCUAAGUACUGGAGCAUCUACAGAAGAUGAACUAUUGAAAAUCUAUAACUCUGUGACUGAAAUAUUAAGUUCAGCAUCAUUCCCAUUACGCAAAAUACGCACUAAUUGUCCAAAAAUAUUUGAAAAUGAUGUAAAUAAUAAUACAUUAAAUCUAACUAAACAGUCAUGUGUACUAGGGUUGAAUUGGUCACCUACAGUAGAUUUGUUUACAUUUCCUAUAGACAUAAAUAUAGAUUCAUUAAAUAUUACUAAGAGAACAAUAAUAUCUACAACUUGUAAAAUCUUUGACCCUUUAGGUGUCUUGUGUGCAUGUAUCAUUACUGCCAAAAUAAUAUUACAACAAUUAUGGAGCGCUAAGAUAGACUGGGAUGAUUCAGUACCUGAUGAUAUUAAGAAUUCUUGGAUUAAAUUUACAAAAAACCUUUCAGAUCUAUCAAACAUAAAAUUGGAAAGAAAUGUUAUCUGUGACUUGCCAAUAUCAGUAGAGCUGCAUUGUUUUGUAGAUGCAUCACAGAAUGCAUAUAGUGCUUGUGUUUAUUUAAGGACAACUAAUAAUAAUAAUCAAAUUACAGUUAAGCUGUUAUGUGCCAAGGCUCGAGUGGCUCCAUUGAAGCCAACCACCAUACCUCGCUUGGAGCUGUGUGGUGCCUUACUCGGAGCAAGGUUAUGUGCAAAAGUUUUAGAGUCACUACGUUGUAAUAUUAUCAGUAAAACUAUUUGGACCGAUUCAAUGGUAGUACUUGGUUGGCUAAAGGUUCAAUAUAAGCAUCUAAAACCUUUUGUUCGUAAUAGAGUAAAUGAGAUCAAUGAAAUUACAGCAGACUAUUCAUGGCGACAUGUGCCUACUGACUGUAACCCUGCUGACCUAG
Long non-coding RNA from Helicoverpa armigera (cotton bollworm), 4702 nucleotides. RefSeq lists it as uncharacterized. The record is from RefSeq and is a predicted model, not a curated record. Lineage: Eukaryota; Metazoa; Arthropoda; Insecta; Lepidoptera; Noctuidae. The transcript is spliced from 2 exons.